Molecule: ribosomal RNA, 524 nt
Filed under: Cryptophaea vietnamensis
Lineage: Eukaryota; Metazoa; Arthropoda; Insecta; Odonata; Euphaeidae
Description: partial 16S ribosomal RNA
Rfam family: Bacterial large subunit ribosomal RNA
Source: RNAcentral
GUCUUCUUGUUACUAUAUGAAGUCUGACCUGCCCGGUGAUUAUUUUUAACGGCCGCGGUAUAUUGACCGUGCAAAGGUAGCAUAAUCAUUAGUCUUUUAAAAGGAGGCUGGAAUGAAAGGUUUGACGAGAUUUUAGCUGUCUCGACUUCAUUUAUUAAAAUUUAACUUUUAAGUUAAAAGGCUUAAAUAUAAUUGAAAGACGAGAAGACCCUAUAGAGCUUUAUGAUUAUUUUAUGUUAGUUUGAUUAUUAAGCUUUAUUAUAAUGAUUAUUUUGUUGGGGUGACAAAAAAUACAUAUUUAACUUUUUUAUAUAUAAAACAUUAAUUUAUGAUUAAAAGAUCCAUUAUUAUUGAUUGUUAGAUUAAGUUACCUUAGGGAUAACAGCGUAAUCUUCUUUUGGAGUUCUUAUUUACAAGAAGGAUUGCGACCUCGAUGUUGGAUUAAGAUUAUAUUUGGGUGUAGCAGCUCAUGAUUAUAGGUCUGUUCGACCUUUAAAUUCUUACAUGAUCUGAGUUCAGACCGG